UCUCUGGACUCUCUUUUGAAAAAACUGCAACUAAUCCACACGUUAUUUAUUCAUGAUCCAUUUCAAUAUUAUUCCCUCGUCUAUUUCUAACUCAUCCAAGUGGACUCUUUCCUUCAGAAUUUUGUACUGAAGCUUUGUGUAGUUUAUUUAUCAUCUGAAUAAGCAUGAUACACGUUCUAGCGAUCUCAUUUUAAUUCAUUUGAUCUCCCUAAUAAUAUUUGGUGAUGAGAGCAAAAUUGGAAACUUCCGUUUCUUGUAGUUGGAUUUCUAAUUGUCCGGCUUUGAUCACUUAUUAUAUAGUAUGUUCGUUAUCCUCUCUUGUAUUCGUUAUUAAAUUUUCUGGUGACGUUCAUCGCUUUCCUGUUGAGGAUAAUGCAGACUUACAAAUAAUUAUGUAUUUAUGAAAUCGAUUGAAUGCUAUAAGGUGGGCGUGAGAGUCAAAAAAAUCAGUGCAAUGACCAGACACAAAAUUUGUCGUCGCAUUCUUUUCUUUUGCAUACGCAAAACCUGUUUCAAAGUUACUUCUAUUUUCCAAAAAAAGUGUUUAAUAGAUAAAUUUAUGUAUUAGGCGAAUCUGAGCCCUUUCCAUGUUCAACAAGUUUUCAUCAUCACCUUCACAACUAUUGUUCGCAUAAAAGAACGAACUCACUUCUACACCAAUGCAGAAAUUUCUUGGAAUCUCUGGCGACACAGUUGUUUAACGUUGUUAAUUUUAAAUGUGUUCUUGCUUGCAGCCCAUUUUUCAUUUGCCCAAAUAAGUUAAGUGGGGUUUAAAUCGAGAUGGUAUGGCAGAAGUCUCAGCACAGUAUUCCCUUUGUCUGCUAAAAUAUGAUCAAUCACAUAAUAUUUGUGCUUUGACUUUUUUAAAUUUGGUUAAAUCAAACAGUUGAGCUUUCAACAUGUCACAAAAUGUGAUGUUUCUUUCCAAUAGCCAGGCUUCCAUUUCGUCCUUCUUUGAGUUAGAUGUCGGUUGUUUGUUUAUCUGAGUGUUGUGAUACGAGGCGUUAUCAAUGACCAGAACGGUGGUAAAUUUCGUAUUAGCAUUGUUUUAACCAGCUGACAUAAUUUUUACUGUCAAUUUCAUUAUGAUAAUCUCCAGUUUUCUGCCUAGAUUUUUAUAUGAGAAGUGCUUUUGAAAUACAGCCCGCUUUUCCUCCAGCAUGAACACCUUUUGAUGUUGGCACCAACAAACCAGAAUCACUAUAACCAGUCCAAUUCUUUGGUCUGGUAUGGGUACCAUGAAUGUAAGUCUCGUCUUCAAAUAUGAUUGAAUGUACUCUCUUAGUGCAGUCAGGUACGAUAAGCGCAUAGAUCGUAUAUCGUGCCUCUCAAUGAGCAUCCCUCUGUUUGCCAUGGUCUUAUUCCACCUAAAAACGAGGUCCCUAACAAUUCUUCUGAGGCUUGAACAACUUCCUUUAAAAUCAAUGCCCUCUUUGAGGUUUACAACUACUUUGGGAAGUGUUGGAACAGUUCCCUCCUGUGAAUAGAAAUUAUGGAUGGUGCGCCGAACAACACAUUUAUCAAAGUCGUCUAUUUCAGUUAUUCGCUUAGGGACGUCGUGUUUCUUGCCAGGCGUUCCAGAUGAAGUGACGUGUUCCUCGUGUUCUUCUCGCUUUUUCAAAAUCGUUCUAAUUGUCCUUUGAGACGCUCCAAUAACUUCUGACACUCUUUUCAGCACUUUUUGUAUUUUUUUAAAGUAAACUGGCCAAGCCACUUUAUCUUUACUUCUUGCCUCUGUUUUCAUAAAAUUGCAGAUUUUCGUGACAAUUUCUCGGCUCUGACUGCGUAAUGUUUUGGAACUUAACUUGGAACGAACAGGUGGCAUGUUAACACAGCACAGUCACAAGACAACAAUAUCAGGCUUCAACACUGCUGUACUGACACAGACUGUACUGACUGACGGAAACCCCUUCCUUCCUUCAUUGAGUGGUCCGCAUACUGGGCUCUCCCUACAAGAUCAGCGGCCAAAAACGCUGGAUCGAGUUCUACGUAGGAGUAAAAUUUCAUGAAUGAACCCAUUCAUUCAGAUGCCUACGAAUUUGUGCAGAAUAUUUUGUGGUUGACUGUACAAUGCCUCCGCUUUAUGAAGGUUGUAAUUAUUGUUGGAAGUUUUGUACCUGGUCGUAGAAGGAAAUGUUGAAAACAUCGAGAGAAAUUGGAAGAAAGGUUUGGAUUGGAUUGAACUGACUCUGCGCGGUCCAAUGAUGUAUCUUGGAAUGCCCUAAGGAAUUUCUUGACCAGCUGAAUUACUAUGAACUUUUCAAGGAAUUGUAAGAAGAUUGUUUCUUCUUCAAAUCUAUUCACUAUUGAAGGAGGUUGGCGACAUUAUGAACAGGAUCCUUCCAUCCUUUUCUCGGACUGGGACCUGUUCAUAUAUGUUUCUUAGGCAGGUGAUACAGGGGUCCGCAGUGGCCGAGCGGUCUGAGGCGUGAGCCUUGUGUUGCAGGGACCGUGGUUUCGAAUCCCACUCAAGCCAUGGAUGUUUUUCUGUGUUGUAUUGUCCUGUGUACAGGUAGAGACCUUGCGACGUGCCGAUCCCUCGUCCAAGGAGUCC
Non-coding RNA from Zootermopsis nevadensis, 2554 nucleotides. Lineage: Eukaryota; Metazoa; Arthropoda; Insecta; Blattodea; Termopsidae. The record is from RefSeq and is a predicted model, not a curated record.